Molecule: small RNA, 131 nt
Filed under: Mytilus galloprovincialis (Mediterranean mussel)
Lineage: Eukaryota; Metazoa; Mollusca; Bivalvia; Mytilida; Mytilidae
Source: RNAcentral
AGUUAAGUUGGCAUCAAAGAACUUAUGCUUUCAGGUAAUUUUAAAAACAUUGCAAGAAUUUCUGAAUUUACAGUACUAGAAGUGUUUUUAAAAUUACCUGAAAGCAUAAGUUCUUUGAUGCCAACUUAACU